RNAcentral lists this ribosomal RNA (450 nucleotides) under uncultured bacterium. RNAcentral's name for it is "partial 16S ribosomal RNA". It matches the Rfam family "Bacterial small subunit ribosomal RNA", at positions 354 to 796 of the family's 1533-position model. The record is from RNAcentral.
GUGGGGAAUCUUCCGCAAUGGACGAAAGUCUGACGGAGCAACGCCGCGUGAGUGAAGAAGGUUUUCGGAUCGUAAAGCUCUGUUGUUUGAGACGAAUGUGCAGACUUUGAAUAAGGGUUUGUAAUGACGGUAUUAAACGAGAAAGCCACGGCUAACUACGUGCCAGCAGCCGCGGUAAUACGUAGGUGGCAAGCGUUGUCCGGAAUUAUUGGGCGUAAAGGGAGCGCAGGUGGGAAUGUAAGUCAGUCUUAAAAGUGCGGGGCUCAACCCCGUGAGGGGAUUGAAACUACAUUUCUUGAGUGCAGGAGAGGAAAGUGGAAUUCCUAGUGUAGCGGUGAAAUGCGUAGAGAUUAGGAGGAACACCAGUGGCGAAGGCGACUUUCUGGACUGUAACUGACACUGAGGCUCGAAAGCCAGGGGAGCGAACGGGAUUAGAAACCCUUGUAGUCC